UGGGAAUAUUGGACAAUGGGCGCAAGCCUGAUCCAGCCAUACCGCGUGGGUGAAGAAGGCCUUCGGGUUGUAAAGCCCUUUUGUUGGGAAAGAAAUCCAGCUGGCUAAUACCCGGUUGGGAUGACGGUACCCAAAGAAUAAGCACCGGCUAACUUCGUGCCAGCAGCCGCGGUAAUACGAAGGGUGCAAGCGUUACUCGGAAUUACUGGGCGUAAAGCGUGCGUAGGUGGUCGUUUAAGUCCGUUGUGAAAGCCCUGGGCUCAACCUGGGAACUGCAGUGGAUACUGGGCGACUAGAGUGUGGUAGAGGGUAGCGGAAUUCCUGGUGUAGCAGUGAAAUGCGUAGAGAUCAGGAGGAACAUCCAUGGCGAAGGCAGCUACCUGGACCAACACUGACACUGAGGCACGAAAGCGU
RNAcentral lists this ribosomal RNA (414 nucleotides) under uncultured bacterium. RNAcentral's name for it is "bacterial SSU rRNA". It matches the Rfam family "Bacterial small subunit ribosomal RNA", at positions 356 to 762 of the family's 1533-position model. The record is from RNAcentral.